This 492-nucleotide ribosomal RNA is filed under the name uncultured bacterium. Its description in RNAcentral is "partial 16S ribosomal RNA". It matches the Rfam family "Bacterial small subunit ribosomal RNA", at positions 29 to 507 of the family's 1533-position model. The record is from RNAcentral.
AGUGAACGCUGGCGGUAGGCCUAACACAUGCAAGUCGAACGGCAGCACAGUAAGAGCUUGCUCUUACGGGUGGCGAGUGGCGGACGGGUGAGGAAUACAUCGGAAUCUACUUUUUCGUGGGGGAUAACGUAGGGAAACUUACGCUAAUACCGCAUACGACCUACGGGUGAAAGCAGGGGAUCUUCGGACCUUGCGCGAUUGAAUGAGCCGAUGUCGGAUUAGCUAGAUGGCGGGGUAAAGGCCCACCAAGGCGACGAUCCGUAGCUGGUCUGAGAGGAUGAUCAGCCACACUGGAACUGAGACACGGUCCAGACUCCGACGGGAGGCAGCAGUGGGGAAUAUUGGACAAUGGGCGCAAGCCUGAUCCAGCCAUACCGCGUGGGUGAAGAAGGACUUCGGGUUGUAAAGCCCUUUUGUUGGGAAAGAAAAGCAGCAGGUUAAUACCCCGCUGUUCUGACGGUACCCAAAGAAUAAGCACCGGCUAACUUCGUG